AUGUUUCUGAGCUGCCCAGUCC
RNAcentral lists this non-coding RNA (22 nucleotides) under Arabidopsis thaliana (thale cress). Lineage: Eukaryota; Viridiplantae; Streptophyta; Magnoliopsida; Brassicales; Brassicaceae. The record is from RNAcentral.